This 492-nucleotide ribosomal RNA is filed under the name uncultured bacterium. Its description in RNAcentral is "partial 16S ribosomal RNA". It matches the Rfam family "Bacterial small subunit ribosomal RNA", at positions 29 to 507 of the family's 1533-position model. The record is from RNAcentral.
AGUGAACGCUGGCGGUAGGCCUAACACAUGCAAGUCGAACGGCAGCACAGUAAGAGCUUGCUCUUACGGGUGGCGAGUGGCGGACGGGUGAGGAAUACAUCGGAAUCUACUUUUUCGUGGGGGAUAACGUAGGGAAACUUACGCUAAUACCGCAUACGACCUACGGGUGAAAGCAGGGGAUCUUCGGACCUUGCGCGAUUGAAUGAGCCGAUGUCGGAAUAGCUAGUUGGCGGGGUAAAGGCCCACCAAGGCGACGAUCCGUAGCUGGUCUGAGAGGAUGAACAGCGACACUGGAACUGAGACACGGUCCAGACUCCUACGGGAGGCAGCAGUGGGGAAUAUUGGACAAUGGGCGCGAGCCUGAUCCAGCCAUACCGCGUGGGUGAAGAAGGCCUUCGGGUUGUAAAGCCCUUUUGUUGGGAAAGAAAAGCAGCAGGUUAAUACCCCGCUGUUCUGACGGUACCAAAAGAAUAAGCACCGGCUAACUUCGUG